RNAcentral lists this ribosomal RNA (470 nucleotides) under uncultured bacterium. RNAcentral describes it as "bacterial SSU rRNA". It matches the Rfam family "Bacterial small subunit ribosomal RNA", at positions 27 to 518 of the family's 1533-position model. The record is from RNAcentral.
GGACGAACGCUGGCGGCGUGCUUCAUACAUGCAAGUCGAACGAGAAAUUCACUCGGUGGAUGGAAAGUGGCGGACGGGUGAGUAAUGUGUAGAGAAUCUGCCCUAGAGUGGGGGACAACAGUUGGAAACGACUGCUAAUACCCCAUAUGCGCGUAGUUGAGAUACUAUUCGUGAAAAACUCCGGUGCUCUGGGAUGAGUCUGCAUCUGAUUAGCUAGUUGGGGGUGUAAUGGACCACCAAGGCGACGAUCAGUAGCUGGUUUGAGAGGAUGAUCAGCCACAAUGGGACUGAGACACGGCCCAUACUCCUACGGGAGGCAGCAGUAGGGAAUUUUGCGCAAUGGGGGAAACCCUGACGCAGCAACGCCGCGUGACCGAUUAAGCCCUUCGGGGUGUAAAGGUCUGUCAGUGGGGACGAAACCUGACGGUACCCACAGAGGAAGCAUCGGCUAACUCCGUGCCAGCAGCCGC